This 372-nucleotide ribosomal RNA is filed under the name uncultured bacterium. RNAcentral describes it as "bacterial SSU rRNA". It matches the Rfam family "Bacterial small subunit ribosomal RNA", at positions 527 to 898 of the family's 1533-position model. The record is from RNAcentral.
GUAGGUGACGAGCGUUAUCCGGAAUUACUGGGCGUAAAGCGCACGCAAGCGGUCAGACAAGUCUGGCGUGAAAUCCUCUGGCUUAACCAGGGGCGGUCGCUGGAAACUGUGGGGCUUGAGGCGAUGAGAGGGGUGCAGAAUUCCCGGUGUAGUGGUGGAAUGCGUAGAGAUCGGGAGGAAUACCAGUGGCGAAAGCGGCACCCUGGCGUCGGCCUGACGCACAUGUGCGAAAGCGUGGGGAGCGAACGGGAUUAGAUACCCCGGUAGUCCACGCGGUAAACGAUGAACACUAGGUGUGGGUGGAGUCCAUCCGUCCGUGCCAAAGCCAACGCGUUAAGUGUUCCGCCUGGGAAGUACGGCCGCAAGGCUAAA